GAGUUUGAUCUUGGCUCAGAUUGAACGCUGGCGGAAUGCUUUACACAUGCAAGUCGAACGGCAGCACGGGGGCAACCCUGGUGGCGAGUGGCGAACGGGUGAGUAAUACAUCGGAACGGUGCCCAGUCGUGGGGGAUAACGUAGCGAAAAGCGUACGCUAAUACCGCAUACGAUCUCUGGAUGAAAAGGCGGGGGGACCGCAAGGCCUCGCGCGAUUGGAGCGGCCGAUGGCAGAUUAGGUAGUUGGUGGGGUAAAGGCUCACCAAGCCGACGAUCUGUAGCUGGUCUGAGAGGACGACCAGCCACACUGGGACUGAGACACGGCCCAGACUCCUACGGGAGGCAGCAGUGGGGAAUUUUGGACAAUGGGCGCAAGCCUGAUCCAGCCAUUCCGCGUGCAGGAUGAAGGCCCUCGGGUUGUAAACUGCUUUUGUACGGAACGAAAAGGCUUUCUCUAAUACAGAGAGCUCAUGACGGUACCGUAAGAAUAAAGCACCGGCUAACUACGUGCCAGCCGCCGC
Molecule: ribosomal RNA, 521 nt
Filed under: uncultured beta proteobacterium
Lineage: Bacteria; Pseudomonadati; Pseudomonadota; Betaproteobacteria
Description: bacterial SSU rRNA
Rfam family: Bacterial small subunit ribosomal RNA
Source: RNAcentral